GUCGACGUAGCUCAAUUGGUAGAGCAGCGGUCUCCAAAGCCACCGGUUGCAGGUUCAAGUCCUGCCGUCUUCGCCA
RNAcentral lists this transfer RNA (76 nucleotides) under Mycobacteroides abscessus subsp. abscessus. Its description in RNAcentral is "tRNA-Trp(cca)". It matches the Rfam family "tRNA". Rfam says of the family: Transfer RNA (tRNA) molecules are approximately 80 nucleotides in length. Their secondary structure includes four short double-helical elements and three loops (D, anti-codon, and T loops). The record is from RNAcentral. Lineage: Bacteria; Bacillati; Actinomycetota; Actinomycetes; Mycobacteriales; Mycobacteriaceae.